This 468-nucleotide long non-coding RNA is filed under the name Mytilus galloprovincialis (Mediterranean mussel). Lineage: Eukaryota; Metazoa; Mollusca; Bivalvia; Mytilida; Mytilidae. The record is from RNAcentral.
GUCCGUUCAUCAGUCCGUCUCUGUUUAUGGUAAAUGAUUUGGUUAUAGUUUAUGAUGAAGUUUUAGUGUCAUCAACUUAAAUGAAUAAUGUGGUUUCUCUAAACAUAUCAUUGUAAAAGUGUAGAGUAAGUCAAAUCCACUGAAAACUGAAUACACGUACACAAGUUUUUUUUAUCAUUAAAGAUGACUAUGUUUGUUCAUGAUUAAGUACGGUUUUGACCCAAAAUGUACUGUUCGUUAUUGAAAUGUGACGGUGUGUUCAGUCUAAGAAAUUCACCAUGAAGUUGUGAUCAAAUAGAGAUAAAACUGAGUACAUAUAUAAAUCAAAAGAUGCAAUAUGAGUGCCAAUGAGACAGCUCUCCAUCCAAAUCAUAAUUUAUUAAAAGUUAACAAUUAUUGGUUAUAGUACGGUCUUCAUUACGGAGCGUUGGCUCACACAUUACAGCAAACUAUAAAAGGUCCAAAAUG